UUCAAUGAUGUGUGCUGGGCAAGCUCAGAAAUGCGAUGAACUUUAGUUGUGUGGGAGCUUGGCCAAAUCAACAGAAUGUGCUGCUCGUUUCCAAAGUUCAUGUGAUGUCUAAACCUUGGUUGGUUAAUAGCUCCCUCUCAUCCAGAACGAUUCUGUUUUAAAGAGGUUGAGUCUCGGUGUCGGGGCAGCCCUGAGGAGCAGCUCUGUGGCAGCCGCGCCGAGUCCAGAGAGAGCUCAGUUCAGCAAGGCACAAGCACAACCUACACAAUUAAUAUGCCUCUUACAGAGCUUUUGCCAUCACCAUGCAGUGGACUGGUGUCCUGGAAAGGGGUGUUGGCUGAAGUUAAUAAGGAACAAGACGUUGAAAUGUGAAUUAUCCCCUGAAAGUUUUUCUAGAGAUAAGUAAAUGCAACAGUCCACAGAUGAUGCUUUUUCCUUUUCUUUGUAGCUAGACACCUCAUAAAAAAUGGAUUUUUUUUGAGUAAGUUUCCAAGACAAAGUAUCCUUUCCUGCACAAGCGAAAGCAGGAGAUUAUCUCUUACCUGUAGCUAUAAUCAGGAUAAUAUUACAAAUCUGUUUUUCCCCUACAAUCCUAUUUCUUUUUGCUAAAGUAAUUAAUUUUUUGUGGCAUCACAUACUUCAAGGAGAAAACACAAGAUGACUCUGCUACAGCAGAGCAGCAAAGAGGGGAUUUUUUUCUUUCUUGUUCUGCAAUAUUCAACAGAAAAUGCUUUAGGGUUUAGUCAUCUUUCUUCAAACCCAUGGCAGUUAAGAAGUGUUUUGCCAGCCCUUCUUCUGUGUCUGGCCAUGAACAGACAACAGCAGAAGUUCUGGCAGCUCUGCAGCCCUUUUGCACCAGUAGGGCUGAAGCAAGGACAGUACGGGCAAGCUGCAAACCUCUCCCCAGAAAAGCAGCAAGGAGUUUGUGCAGAAGUCUUAAAUGUGCACUGUCUCCAGUGAGGGACCUGGGUGCAUGAGGUUACACAGGGAUUAUCCUAAAGCUGCUGCCUCCUGUCUUGUAAUCUAGUGAUUUCCCACCCCAGCACAGCCAUUUAUUACAGUAAGAACACAAUUUAGUAUCUCUCUGAACCAUUACUACCGAAGGUAUCGUAAUUAGUUUCUGCUUGCGAAGCACUUGGACACGAAGGAACACUGUAAGUGCUAAGUCAUUAUCAUUCACCUUUACUUAAUACAUUUCUGGUUUAUUUAGCUGCUUGCGACCAAGGAGUCAGCAUGUCUUUGGCCAGAUUAUACAUGGAUGAAGCCAGUGAGAGCACAGGAACAGGGAGAUGGAGCCCUGAAAUCUGCCUUGCUCCAGAAAGCUGAGAGCUCUACAGGCUAUGACCACCACAUCUAACCCUUGGUGAAAUGAGUGUUAAGUCUGCUGAAGAGUAACAGAAAUGGAAAUAAACAGAGGG
Long non-coding RNA from Oxyura jamaicensis (ruddy duck), 1418 nucleotides. RefSeq lists it as uncharacterized. Lineage: Eukaryota; Metazoa; Chordata; Aves; Anseriformes; Anatidae. The transcript has 2 exons. The record is from RefSeq and is a predicted model, not a curated record.